UACGUAGGCAGCGAGCGUUGUUCGGAGUUACUGGGCGUAAAGAGUGCGUAGGCGGUUUUCUAAGUUUGGUGUGAAAUCUCCCGGCUCAACUGGGAGGGUGCGCCGAAGACUGGAAGGCUCAGAGUGUGGGAGAGGUAAGCGGAAUUCCUGGUGUAGCGGUGAAAUGCGUAGAUACUAGGAGGAACACCUGCGGUGUAGACGGCUUACUGGACCAUAACUGACGCUGAGGCACGAAAGCGUGGGUAGCAAACAGG
RNAcentral lists this ribosomal RNA (254 nucleotides) under uncultured bacterium. RNAcentral describes it as "partial 16S ribosomal RNA". It matches the Rfam family "Bacterial small subunit ribosomal RNA", at positions 524 to 776 of the family's 1533-position model. The record is from RNAcentral.